ACGCCCGAAGCGUGGGCCGCGACUCUCAUGGAUCCGGUUCCGCCCUCCCUUUAGCUGCGGACCCUCCGGGGCUAGAGUCUGAGAUCCCUUUCCCAGAGUGCCCUGCGCCGUAAAGAAGCGGCUCCCGGGGACUGGGGGCAUUUUGUGUUGGCUGGAGCCGGAGUAACAAGAUGGCGGCGUCGGCCGAGUGACAGGCGUCCCUGCGGGCAGGAGCCGGCGGCAGUGGUAGCAGCGGUAUCGUCGCCCUAACUCACCGCACCCCUUUUCCUGCCCGCGACGUCGCCGCAGAAACGAGGCCGCGGCGGCCGCCCAGAAGCAACUGGCUCCGACUUGGUAACGACGAGAACCCCCUCACAAACUGCGGCCCGGCAAAAAGAAACCUGACUGAGCGGGGGUGAUCAGGUUCCCCUUUGCCGAUUCUGGGCCGGUCAGCGUUUUCCAUUUUCUGCCGCCCUCCUGCGCAGCCUUCCUCGGUAGACGAGCCCCAGGGGCCUCAGUCCUCCUCACAGAGGUGUCGGGGCUUGGCCCCAGCCUCCAUCUUCGUCUCUCAGGAUGGCGAGCAGCAGCGGCUCCAAGGCCGAAUUCAUCGUCGGAGGGAAAUACAAACUAGUACGGAAGAUCGGGUCUGGCUCCUUCGGGGACAUUUAUCUGGCGAUCAACAUCACCAACGGCGAGGAAGUGGCAGUGAAGCUAGAAUCUCAGAAGGCCAGGCAUCCCCAGUUGCUGUAUGAGAGCAAGCUCUAUAAGAUUCUUCAAGGUGGUGUUGGCAUCCCUCACAUACGGUGGUAUGGUCAGGAAAAAGACUACAAUGUUCUAGUCAUGGAUCUUCUUGGGCCCAGCCUCGAAGACCUCUUCAAUUUCUGUUCAAGAAGGUUCACAAUGAAAACUGUACUUAUGUUAGCUGACCAGAUGAUCAGUAGAAUCGAAUAUGUGCAUACAAAGAAUUUUAUACACAGAGACAUUAAACCAGAUAACUUCCUAAUGGGUAUUGGGCGUCACUGUAAUAAGUGUUUAGAAUCUCCAGUGGGGAAGAGGAAAAGAAGCAUGACUGUUAGUACUUCUCAGGACCCAUCUUUCUCAGGAUUAAACCAGUUAUUCCUUAUUGAUUUUGGUUUGGCCAAAAAGUACAGAGACAACAGGACAAGGCAACACAUACCAUACAGAGAAGAUAAAAAUCUCACUGGCACUGCCCGAUACGCCAGCAUCAAUGCACAUCUUGGUAUUGAACAGAGUCGCCGAGAUGACAUGGAAUCAUUAGGAUAUGUUUUGAUGUAUUUUAAUAGAACCAGCCUGCCAUGGCAAGGACUGAAGGCUGCAACAAAAAAACAGAAAUAUGAAAAGAUUAGUGAAAAGAAAAUGUCCACUCCUGUUGAAGUUUUAUGUAAGGGAUUUCCUGCAGAAUUCGCCAUGUAUUUAAACUAUUGUCGUGGGCUGCGCUUUGAGGAAGCCCCAGAUUACAUGUACCUGAGGCAGCUAUUCCGCAUUCUUUUCAGGACCCUGAACCACCAAUAUGACUACACAUUUGACUGGACAAUGUUAAAGCAGAAAGCAGCUCAGCAGGCAGCCUCUUCAAGUGGGCAGGGUCAGCAGGCCCAAACCCCCACAGGCAAGCAAACUGACAAAACCAAGAGUAACAUGAAAGGAACGUGGCUGGUCACUCAGCAAGGUAAUCCAAAUCACAGGGGAAGACCAUGAAAUGUCUGGAGAAGACUGAUCUGCUCUGAAUACACUCAAUCCAGAGAAGUGCCAGGGAGCUGCAUCUGCUUGAUGACAUUUUUGUCAGCUCUUUUCAGCAGACAAUAAAGCUGGACAGAAAAGAACUAAAUAACCCAACAGGAAAUGAUGAGUGGGCAGGAAUUAAUUUGUCGUGAUCUGAAGCCCACGUCUCCAAGGCUUGCUGGACCUAUCAGACUUUUCAACUUGGAUGAUAACAACAGUCAGAAGCCCUGAAGAAGAGAGUAUAGUGUUCACUGUGAUACAGUGGUGUAUAAUGCAGACAUGCUGCCCCGUUGGGGAAGGAAUCAACUGUAACAGGAACAAAGGAAGUUAUUCCUUAUUUUCACUAUUACAGUGAAGAUUGGUUUUCGGACUUUGAGAAGCCAGGAGACAUCACCUAAACUACAAAAUAAAAACCAAGAACUAAUGCACACCAGGGAAAAAAGAAUGCUUAGCCUUGAAGAUUGAACAUUGAAUACCUGCUGAACGUUCCUAUUGAGAUUUUUCCUUAAGCAAACUUCAGUAAUGUCUUAAGACAAUUCAGUGGAGAAACACUGAUCCCUGGAUAGCGUAUCCUACCACUGACCAAUCUGAAGAGUUAAAUCUGGAUUUGACUGCUUUAUUCUACCAGGAGUAUUGCUAGGGUAGCCUUUAACCAAUCCGUAAACAAUUGUAAUCAUGAAUUGACCCAGCAAUUCCCCAAAUAUUAGAUUAAAAGAUGAACAGAUAUAAUUCUUAUCUAGAUAUAAUAUUUACUUCUAUUAAAGAUACAAGAGUUUUCUAGUAUUUUGACAAUGUAACAUGUUUACUUUUUAGUUUGUUAGUGACAGCGGUCUCCAUUUUAAAGUUGUUUGGGUAUUUGAUGUAGUAAUAUAAUGUAAUUGCACAAGCAAGCUGUGAUAAAAAACAAUUUUAGUAGUUGUGAAAUUUGUCUUUGUAUCAUAUUUAAGAAUAAUUGCAGGACUUGAAACCAAAUGCUCAUGGUGGGGCGUGAGAGGUAAUGGUCAUUUUUGUUUAGCUAAGCCAUGGUUUUAAUUUGCUUUAAAAUUUUGGAAUUAGGUUAUAGAAUAUGAUCAGAUAUUUAAAUUCAGGCUUUAUAGGACAGCCUUUUCUCUUUAUGUUUACCUUGCUAAUCCUGUUUGAUAAUGUACAUCAAACAGAUAGUAUCUCUUGUGGUGAAGUACAUUUUCAGAAAUUUUCAUUGUCUUUCAUUUUUAGCAUUUUCUGUAUAGACAUAGUAUUUGGCAGGCAUCAAAGGUUUAUUUUGCACCUGCUCUGUUGAUAGGCACUAUGAACAAACAGAAGUACAUAUAGCAUUUGCCCCAUUGUCCUUGGGGGUUAGCACAAAAAAUUUUUCAAAUGAAGAUGACUUUGUUCGUCAGUGAAAAAACUAGUUAGCAAGUGAGAGAAUAUUUACCAAGAAAUUAUAUAUAAAUGAUUGGUAUUGUCUUAGGAAAAACAAGGGCAUAUGUGCAUGAAAAGUAAAUUACAGAAGCAUUUUAUUUAUCCAUAAAGCCUACUGGAGAUAGUCCAACAAAUGCUUGAGUAGCCCAAGAAAAGGAGCAGCUUAUGAUUGACAAAAACAUAGUUUGUGCUAAAAGUAAGACAGAGUGGGCUGGAAUGAGCUAGAAUUAGGUCUGCUGUAAGAGUUGCAAGUGGGUGGACCAAGGGGCAUUGAUGCCUUAAAGCUGGGCUAUAGGUGUGGGAACAGGGUACUGGUGGGAUUUUCAUGUUACUGCUGAGAGGAGUUCUAUUUCCUCUGGUUGCCAUUAGCCAUAGACAAAGCAUGCAGCGAUUAUUACCUGAAGCUACUUUCUUUUAAAACCUGCCUUUAUGUAGAAGCCCUAGGCUCUAAUUGUGGGUGGGGGUAGGGAGUGUUUCUAGAGGGGGAAGGCUUGAGAAGUGUAAAAAAAGCCUCACUUGUUUACAUUCUCAGAUCAGUAACAAAACCUCAUGUUUUUAAUGUAACUGAUGGCAGUGAAGUAUUUUAAAGGUGUGAGGUUUCUGUACUAAAGUCAUCUAUUCGGUUUAUGUUCAGUGGAAUAAUUCAUAAUUAUGCAUUGAAUGCACUUAAUAUAAAAAUUCAUUUGUAACAGAAAUAAUGUAUGGAAAGAUUCUUGAUCAUAGCAUGAUUAAAACUAUGCUUUCUAGUUAAGGCAAAGCAAUCUAUUUUUUGUUCAUUUGACAAAUAUUUGAAUAUAUAAUAAUGUUUAGGUACUAGAAUUACAGAAGUAAACAAACCAGGCCCAUUGGAAUUACCAGUAAUUCUCUAGCUUGAAAACUAUGCUGACGGGGAGGCUUUAAUGUGCUGUAUACCAUUCCCACUUAGUGGCAUCCAUAACAAAAGUUAGGUAAUUUUUUAGGCUUUAAAAAAUUGAGCCAGUGCUUUCCAGAUAGAUGAAAA
This is an RNA transcript of Manis javanica (Malayan pangolin), 4120 nucleotides long. It is a transcript of the gene named casein kinase 1 alpha 1, with no coding region annotated. The record is from RefSeq and is a predicted model, not a curated record. NCBI's taxonomy places the organism in Eukaryota, Metazoa, Chordata, Mammalia, Pholidota, Manidae.